AUUGAACGCUGGCGGCAGGCCUAACACAUGCAAGUCGCACGAGUGGCGGACGGGUGAGUAAUGUCUGGGAAACUACCUUAUGGAGGGGGAUAACUACGGGCAACUGUAGCUAAUACCGCGUACCAUCGGAUGUGCCCAGCUGGGAUUAGGUAGUUGGUGAGGUACAGGCUCACCAAGCCGACGAUCUCUAGCUGGUCUGAGAGGAUGACCAGCCACACUGGGACUGAGACACGGCCCAGACUCCUACGGGAGGCAGCAGUGGGGAAUAUUGCACAAUGGGCGCAAGCCUGAUGCAGCCAUGCCGCGUGUAUGAAGAAGGCCGUAGGGUUGUAAAGUACUUUCAGUCGGGAGGCGUUACCGGCAGAAGAAGCACCGGCUAACGCCGUGCCAGCAGCCGCGGUAAUAC
RNAcentral lists this ribosomal RNA (406 nucleotides) under uncultured bacterium. RNAcentral describes it as "partial 16S ribosomal RNA". It matches the Rfam family "Bacterial small subunit ribosomal RNA", at positions 30 to 526 of the family's 1533-position model. The record is from RNAcentral.